Molecule: ribosomal RNA, 494 nt
Filed under: uncultured bacterium
Lineage: Bacteria
Description: partial 16S ribosomal RNA
Rfam family: Bacterial small subunit ribosomal RNA
Source: RNAcentral
GACGAACGCUGGCGGCGUGCUUUAGGCAUGCAAGUCGAACGCGAAAGCCCCUUCGGGGGUGAGUCGAGUGGCGAACGGGUGAGUAACACGUGGGUAACCUGCCCCUCGCAGGGGGAUAACCGGGGGAAACCCCGGCUAAUACCCCGUACGCUUGCUGGGGCGCAUGCUCCGGCAAGGAAAGGUAGCUUCGGCCAUCCGGCGAGGGAGGGGCCCGCGGCCCAUUAGCUAGUUGGUGGGGUAACGGCCCACCAAGGCGACGAUGGGUAGCUGGCCUGAGAGGGUGGUCAGCCACACUGGGACUGAGACACGGCCCAGACUCCUACGGGAGGCAGCAGCCAGGAAUCUUGCGCAAUGGGCGAAAGCCUGACGCAGCAACGCCGCGUGGGCGAUGAAGGCCUUCGGGUCGUAAAGCCCUGUUGUCGGGGACGAAGGGCGAAGGGUUAAUAGCCCCUAGCCUGACGGUACCCGACGAGGAAGCCCCGGCUAACUACGUG